This 90-nucleotide transfer RNA is filed under the name Magnetococcales bacterium. RNAcentral describes it as "tRNA-Ser". It matches the Rfam family "tRNA". From Rfam's summary of the family: Transfer RNA (tRNA) molecules are approximately 80 nucleotides in length. Their secondary structure includes four short double-helical elements and three loops (D, anti-codon, and T loops). Lineage: Bacteria; Pseudomonadati; Pseudomonadota; Magnetococcia; Magnetococcales. The record is from RNAcentral.
GGAGAGAUGGCCGAGCGGCUGAAGGCGGCACCCUGCUAAGGUGUUAUAUCUGUAAAGGUAUCGAGGGUUCGAAUCCCUCUCUCUCCGCCA